This 439-nucleotide long non-coding RNA is filed under the name Ananas comosus (pineapple). RNAcentral's name for it is "long non-coding RNA (ACOM_LNC032411)". The record is from RNAcentral. Lineage: Eukaryota; Viridiplantae; Streptophyta; Magnoliopsida; Poales; Bromeliaceae.
UAUAUAUAUAUAUAGAAUUAAGCUGCAAUGCUAUUAAUAGAACCCAGCUGUAUUGUCAUUAGAUUUUCGGCCUUUAGAUUAAGAAAUGUACGUUUAUGAUGAUAUGGAUCUUGUAGGGUUGAGUGAGUUGUUGAUUGAAUAAUAUAAUCUAACGGGUGAAAAUAGUCAAAAGAAAAUGUAUGAUUAGAAUGAUGUGAGCCUCCUAAAGUUGAGUUAAUUGUUGGUUAAGUAGUAUAAUCUAACGGGUGAAAAUAGUAAAUGGGUUAAAUCUAACGACGGAGAGAGAGAGAGAGGGGGUUGUGUUAAAAUACUAUUAAUAGUAUUUAUGUGAAUAAUAUUUACUAUCUACUUUUUAAUUAUUGAAUUUCUACAAUUUACGCGGCGGGGGUGGGGGCUUUAGUGGAUAGUAUGAUUUAAAUGGUGAAAAAAUUGAUAGUAA